CGAAUGUAACUGACAUCUCCAAACUCCACCAUGACCAAAAAUAAAUCAAGACAAACCUACAACCACCACCAUGGAAACAGACAACCAAUGAGCUGAAGAGAUGAGCAAAAUUCAACUGCUCCAAAAUGAUAGUGGAUGUACAAGUCCAGUGUGUUUGCUGUAACAAGUUAGCGCGAUGAAAUAUGGAAAAACCUAUUUGCCUCUGUCUUCACAAUUUGCACAAAGCCCCUUUCUGGUGAGGAUUGCGUUGCACUGAUCUCUACACAUUUUCCCGGCAUGCAGUGCUGUUUGGCCCUUUAUGGGAUGGGCACAAAGACCCUGUGUCUACCUUCCCAGUGAGCUGCAUAAGAGACUAGGCACAGUGGAGACACAUACAAGGGUGCUUUCUUUGGUAAAGUUUUCUGGCCAUCUUAGGAGGGCUCCAUGCAUGAUGUGAGUGCUUCAAGAGUUUUGAAGUCCCCUGGGGAAAAGGACAACAAAUAAGCAUGCUUUUGGAAGAGUUUUGUGAAGAAGUCAAUAUCCUGGAGAUAAUGGGAUGCCACAGAGCA
RNAcentral lists this long non-coding RNA (548 nucleotides) under Macaca mulatta (Rhesus monkey). RNAcentral describes it as "lncRNA (ENSMMUG00000056368.1)". Lineage: Eukaryota; Metazoa; Chordata; Mammalia; Primates; Cercopithecidae. The record is from RNAcentral.